CAGCACCUCAAGUGGUCAGGAUGAUUAUUGGGCCUAAAGCAUCCGUAGCCUGCUUUGUUAGUUUUCGGUUAAAUCCAUACGCUCAACGUAUGGGCUGCCGGGAAUACUGCAAAGCUAGGGAGUGGGAGAGGUAGACGGUACUCGGUAGGAAGGGGUAAAAUCCUUUGAUCCAUUGAUGACCACCUGUGGCGAAGGCGGUCUACCAGAACACGUCCGACGGUGAGGGAUGAAAGCUGGGGGAGCAAACCGGAUUAGAGACCCGAGUAGUCC
This 270-nucleotide ribosomal RNA is filed under the name uncultured archaeon. Its description in RNAcentral is "partial 16S ribosomal RNA". It matches the Rfam family "Archaeal small subunit ribosomal RNA", at positions 477 to 747 of the family's 1478-position model. The record is from RNAcentral.